RNAcentral lists this ribosomal RNA (512 nucleotides) under uncultured bacterium. RNAcentral describes it as "bacterial SSU rRNA". It matches the Rfam family "Bacterial small subunit ribosomal RNA", at positions 34 to 518 of the family's 1533-position model. The record is from RNAcentral.
CGCUGGCGGCGUGCUUAACACAUGCAAGUCGAACGAGACGAUUGAAAGCUUGCUUUGAGAGUCGAGUGGCAAACGGGUGAGUAACGCGUAGACAACCUGCCGCAAAGAUGGGGACAACAGUCCGAAAGGACUGCUAAUACCGAAUGUUGUCAAGUUUCCGCAUGGGAGCUUGGUUAAAGAUGGCCUCUACUUGUAAGCUAUCGCUUUGCGAUGGGUCUGCGUCUGAUUAGCUGGUUGGUGGGGUAACGGCCUACCAAGGCGACGAUCAGUAGCCGGUCUGAGAGGAUGAACGGCCACAUUGGAACUGAGACACGGUCCAGACUCCUACGGGAGGCAGCAGUGGGGAAUCUUCCGCAAUGGGCGAAAGCCUGACGGAGCAACGCCGCGUGAGUGAAGAAGGGUUUCGGCUCGUAAAGCUCUGUUGACGGGGACGAAUGUGCGAAAUGCGAAUAGUUUUUCGCAAUGACGGUACCCGUCGAGGAAGCCACGGCUAACUACGUGCCAGCCGCCGC